CUGUGCUGUCUAUAAAACAAGUGCCUUUAUAGACCUCUAGCCCACAAUGUCUGCAUAACCUUCAGCUAUUACAGCUGCCUUUAAACACAGAGGGAUCAUUCAAAAACACACACACUCAAACUCAUACACACAUGCACACUCAUACACACUCAAAACCAUAGACUCAUACACACUCAAAAUAUACACUUUCAGACACAUACUCAAAAACACACAAUCACACACCCUCACACACUCAAAAACACACACACACACAGAUACAGUCACACACUCAAAAACACACAGAUUCACACACACACAAAACACACUCACACACUCAGACACACACUCACACACUCAAAAACACACACACACACAGAUACAGUCACACACUCAAAAACACACAGAUUCACACACACACAAAACACACUCACACACUCAGACACACACUCACACACUCAAAAACACACUCAGACACGCACACUCACAGAUACAGUCACACACUCAAAGACACACUCAAAAACAUACACAUUCACACAGACACACAAAAGACACACUCACACACUCAGACACACACUCACACACUCAUAAACACACCCAGACACACACACUCACAGAUACAGUCACACACUCAAAAACACACACACUCACAGAUACAGUCACACACUCAAAAACACACACACUCACAGAUACAGUCACACACACAAAAACACACUCAAAAACAUACACAUUCACACACACACACACACAAAAGACACACACACUCACAGAUACAGUCACACACAAAAACACACACUCAGAAACAUACACAUUCAGACACACACACACUCACAGAUACAGUCACACACUCAAAAACAUACACAUUCAGACACACACACACACACACAAAACACACUCACACACUCAAAAACACACUCAGACACACACACUCAUAGAUACAGUCACACACUCAAAAACACACUCAGAAACAUACACAUUCAGACACACACACACACACACACAAUCAACAUACACUCACACACUCAGACACACACACACUCACAGAUACAGUCACACACUCAAAAACACACACUCAAAAACCUACACAUUCAGACACACACACACACAAUCAACAUACACUCACACACUCAGACACACACACACACAUAUACACUCACAGAUACAGUCACACACUCAAAAACACACACUCAAAAACCUACACAUUCAGACAACACACACACACUCAAAAACAAACUCACACACUCAAAAACAUAUAGUCACGCACUCAAAAACACAAUGACACACACUCGCACACUCACAGAUACAGUCACACACUCAAAAUAUACACUCUCAGACAGCCACACACUCAAAAACACACUCUCGAAAACAUACACAUUCAGACACACACACGCACUCUCACACACACACACACACACUCAAAAACACCCGCACACACUCAAAAACAGAAUUACACCAUCAAAAACAUAUAUCCUCACACACUCAAGAACACAUACUCACAGAUACAGUCACACACUCAAAAACUCUCUGACACACAGUGCCACAC
Long non-coding RNA from Pygocentrus nattereri (red-bellied piranha), 1519 nucleotides. The record is from Ensembl. NCBI's taxonomy places the organism in Eukaryota, Metazoa, Chordata, Actinopteri, Characiformes, Serrasalmidae.